Molecule: ribosomal RNA, 550 nt
Filed under: uncultured bacterium
Lineage: Bacteria
Description: bacterial SSU rRNA
Rfam family: Bacterial small subunit ribosomal RNA
Source: RNAcentral
UAGGGAAUCUUCCGCAAUGGACGAAAGUCUGACGGAGCAACGCCGCGUGAGUGAUGAAGGUUUUCGGAUCGUAAAACUCUGUUGUUAGGGAAGAACAAGUACAAGAGUAACUGCUUGUACCUUGACGGUACCUAACCAGAAAGCCACGGCUAACUACGUGCCAGCAGCCGCGGUAAUACGUAGGUGGCAAGCGUUGUCCGGAAUUAUUGGGCGUAAAGCGCGCACAGGCGGUCCUUUAAGUCUGAUGUGAAAGCCCACGGCUCAACCGUGGAGGGUCAUUGGAAACUGGGGGACUUGAGUGCAGAAGAGAAGAGUGGAAUUCCACGUGUAGCGGUGAAAUGCGUAGAGAUGUGGAGGAACACCAGUGGCGAAGGCGACUCUUUGGUCUGUAACUGACGCUGANGCGCGAAAGCGUGGGGAGCAAACAGGAUUAGAUACCCUGGUAGUCCACGCCGUAAACGAUGAGUGCUAAGUGUUAGAGGGUUUCCGCCCUUUAGUGCUGCAGCAAACGCAUUAAGCACUCCGCCUGGGGAGUACGGCCGCAAGGCUG